AGAGUUUGAUCAUGGCUCAGGAUGAACGCUAGCGGCAGGCCUAAUACAUGCAAGUCGAACGGGAGCUCCCCUCGGGGGAGUGAGAGUGGCGCACGGGUGCGUAACGCGUAUGCAACCAACCCCUUUCCGGGGGACAGCCGGUGGAAACGCCGGGUAAUACCCCAUGGCGAUCCGUCUGGGCAUCCAGAAGGAUUGAAAGAUUUCGGUCGGAAAGGGACGGGCAUGCGUCCCAUUAGCUAGUUGGCGGGGCGACGGCCCACCAAGGCGACGAUGGGUAGGGGAUCUGAGAGGACGGUCCCCCACACUGGUACUGAGACACGGACCAGACUCCUACGGGAGGCAGCAGUAAGGAAUAUUGGGCAAUGGGGGGAACCCUGACCCAGCCAUGCCGCGUGAGGGAAGUAAGGCCCUACGGGUCGUGAACCUCUUUUGUCCAGGGACAAGGCGCGCCACUUGAUGGCGCGUUGAGGGUACUGGAAGAAUAAGCAUCGGCUAACUCCGUGCCAGCAGCAGC
Molecule: ribosomal RNA, 514 nt
Filed under: uncultured bacterium
Lineage: Bacteria
Description: bacterial SSU rRNA
Rfam family: Bacterial small subunit ribosomal RNA
Source: RNAcentral